GACGAACGCUGGCGGCGUGCUUAACACAUGCAAGUCGAACGGAAAGGCCCUGCUUUUGUGGGGUGCUCGAGUGGCGAACGGGUGAGUAACACGUGAGUAACCUGCCCUUGACUUUGUGAUAACUUCAGGAAACUGGGGCUCAUACCGGAUAUGAGCUCCUGCUGCAUGUUGGGGGUUGGAAAGUUUCGGCGGUUGGGGCUGGACUCGCGGCUUAUCAGCUUGUUGGUGGGGUAGUGGCUUACCAAGGCUUUGACGGGUAGCCGGCCUGAGAGGGUGAACGGCGACAUGGGGACUGAGAUACGGCCCAGACGCCUACGUGAGGCAGCAGUGGGGAAUAUUGCACAAUGGGCGGAAGCCUGAUGCAGCAACGCCGCGUGCGGGAUGACGGCCUUCGGGUUGUAAACCGCUUUCGCCUGUGACGAAGCGGGAGUGACGGUAAUGGGUAAAGAAGCACCGGCUAACUACGUG
This 468-nucleotide ribosomal RNA is filed under the name uncultured bacterium. RNAcentral's name for it is "partial 16S ribosomal RNA". It matches the Rfam family "Bacterial small subunit ribosomal RNA", at positions 28 to 507 of the family's 1533-position model. The record is from RNAcentral.